UAAGUGGGUAAGACCUUGGAAGGGAGUUU
RNAcentral lists this non-coding RNA (29 nucleotides) under Mus musculus (house mouse). Lineage: Eukaryota; Metazoa; Chordata; Mammalia; Rodentia; Muridae. The record is from RNAcentral.